This is a long non-coding RNA of Ruditapes philippinarum (Manila clam), 5608 nucleotides long. RefSeq lists it as uncharacterized. Lineage: Eukaryota; Metazoa; Mollusca; Bivalvia; Venerida; Veneridae. The record is from RefSeq and is a predicted model, not a curated record. The transcript is spliced from 2 exons.
UUAGCUCGACUAUUCGAAGAAUAUGAGAGCUAUUGUAGUCGCCCCGGCGUCGGCGUCAGCGUCAUCGUCCGCGUCAGCGUUGGUUAAAGUUUUUUGUAAAUUCAAAUAUCUCAAUUAUUGCUUGAGAUAUUCAAUUGAAACUUACAAUACUUAUUUAUAGUAACAAUGUACAUCAGAUUGACAAGUUCGAUAACUCUGUCUACAAUAUUGACAGAAUUAUGCCCCUUUUUAACUUAGAAAUUUUGGUUAAAGUUUUUUGUAAAGUCAAAUAUCUCAAUUAUUGCUGGAGAUAUUCAAUUGAAACUUGCAAUACUUAUUUAUAGUAACAAUGUUCAUCAGAUUGACAAGUUGGAUAACUCUGCCUACAAUAUUGACAGAAUUAUGCCCCUUUUUAACUUAGAAAUUUUGGUAAAAGUUUUUUGUAAAGUCAAAUAUCUCAAUUAUUGCUUGAGAUAUUUAAUUGAAACUUGCAAUACUUAUUUAUAGUAACAAUGUACAUCAGAUUGACAAGUUGGAUAACUCUACCUACUAUAUUUUCAGAAUUAUGCCCCUUUUUAACUUAGAAAUUUUGGUUUAUGUUUUUUGUAAAUUCAAAUAUCUCAAUUAUUGCUUGAGAUAUUCAAUUGAAACUUACAAUACUUAUUUAUAGUAGCAAUGUACAUCAGAUGGACAAGUUUGAUUACUCUACCUACAAUAUUCACAGAAUUAUGCCCCUUUUAACUUAGAAAUUUUGGUUAAAGUUUUUUGUAAAGUCAAAUAUCUCAAUUAUUGCUUGAGAUUUUCAAUUUAACCUUACAAUACUUAUUUAUAGUAACAAUGUUUAUCAGUUUGCAAAAUCGCAUAACUCUGCCUGCAAUACUUGCAGAAUUAUUUGUUUUAAAACUUAGAAAUUUUGGUUAAAGGUUAAAGGUCUUCAAAGAUAUUUACUUGAAACUUUACACAUGUACUUAGGGUCAUAAUUGGAGGGUCAUAAUUGUUGUAUGUCACUGACCAAGUUCCGUAACUCUAUCUUGCAUUAAGCUGAUUCAUCUCCCCUUUUCUACUUAGUCUCUUGGUUAAUGUUUACAUGCAAGUUUUACAUAUUUCAAUAACUAUUAAAGAUAUUUAUUUAAAACUUCACAUAUGCAUUUAGAAUCAUAAUUGUAGGUCACUGACCAAGAUCCAUAAUUCUAUCUUGCAUUUAGGCUGAUUUUUCUCCCCUUUUUCAACUUAUAAAUUCCUGGUAAAGUUUUGCUUGUAAGCUGUUAUGUCCAUAACUACUGAAGAGUUUGUGCCUUUUUGGGACAUUUUUAUGCAUUCAUAAUAAUAAAGCAGUGAUUUACUUGAUAAAACAUCUUAAUAACAAGCCUUUGUUCCUUUUUCAGUCAAUUUUAUGUAUUCAUAGGAAAUUAGCAUUAUUAUACUCAAUAAAACACCCUUGUGACAAUUUUUGGAUAGUCGGUAUUGGCUUGACUAUUCAAAAAUUGUCACAAUGGUGAGUAUAAUAAUGCUAAUUACUGACUAAGAAUUUACGUUCAAGUUGCAUACCACCUCAGAUAUUUUGCUAUUCCAUUGACAUCUCGCUUUGAAACAAGUUGAAAUUUUAUGCUCUUCUUUGAGAGCAUAAUAGGACUCUCCCGAAGACCUAUAGCCGUAACAUGGAUUUAAAGAAAAAUUUGGCCCUUUUGUUAAUUUAGAAAAUGUUACAUUAUCAAGGCUCUUUUAAUAUCAAACACUUAGAAUAGUCGAGCAUGCUGUCCUACCGACAGCUCUUGUUAUGAUUCAUAAAGAUCUAGUUGCAUUAUUUAAGCCAUCAUUUAGACUUUAAAUGGGUUAUAGGCCAGCCUUGUUUUCUUCAAAUGUUAUGUCGUUUUUGAAUUGAUAAGAUCAGUCAUUUCUUGCAGAUUAGCUUAAAUUGACAACAUCAAGAGAAAUAAAUUGCAGAAGAAGAAAGUUAUUUGAUGAUGGAGACAUGUCCACUGCUUGUUUAUGGAUUUGUUUUUAAUGUUAAGAGCAGAUAAAACUCAUGGUUAUAGAAGUUGAUAUAUAAAACUUUCAUUUAAUGGACAUAGUUAAUUGCACCGUUAACUUAAAAAAGUGAACAAUAAUUUAACAUAUGAGUAUCAUCCGAAAGAGGCUGAAUGGUUAGUCACUGACUUCAAACCACUUGUUUCUCACCGCUGUAGGUUCAAACCAUGUAAACAUCUUCAAGUUCUUUCAUGUGAGAAAGCUAUCCUGCUAGCUUAAGGAUGGUUGGGUCUUCUACUCAAGAGCCAGUUUAUGCCUGAAAUGACACCAAAGAGGGGCACCUGAGGUCUUCCUCCACCAGUUAAGCUGAAAAGUCACCAUAUAACCUAUACUGUGUUGGUGCAAUGUAAAACCCAAUUAAAAGAAAAAAAAAUCAUCUAAAAAAUUACGAAUAUGUUCAGUUAGUGUCACAAACAUCUCUAACUUAACCAAGUAAAGUACAAGAAAUGCAUAUUGUUCUGAUGAAAUCCAUUCAAAAGAAUGAAAAAGAAAAUAUUGCUUAUGAAUUCAUCAUUAUUUGAAUAUUGAUAAAUUUAUAUGUCUUCUAUAAUAAUUUUGUCUUUUAGAUUUUGAAUAUAUUUAUUCUAGAGUUUGUUAUCUUGUAUUGAUGAAUUGUUUGGAUUUUUCUUUUUAUGACAUAUUUGUGAAUAUAUUUUAUAUAUUUGAAAUUUGUGAUCAUUAUGAAGUUGAAAAUUUGUAUUUGUUAUUGUGUUUAAAUCUUAAUUUAUCAAAUACCCUUGCUUUUGUGGUAUUGAUUAUAUUUUGAUGUCAUUUGCAUUAUACUAAUAGAUGAAUGUAAGCCUUACACUAAAAACAGUGAUUCUUUUCUGUAUACUGUAAACAGUUCAUAUUUUGGGUAUGUGAUAAAUAGAAUAUUAUAUAUGUGUAGCUUCAUUACUAAAUUUUAUUGAACUUAAUAUAUAUGAUUUAAAUCAACUGGUUCAAUAAUUUCAGUGUUGAACCUAAACUCUUUCAAUUUUCUCUUUUUAUCACAUACGCAACAGCACAGAAGUGUAAUAAAGUUUAAAUAAAAAUGAUUUUACACUAUUGUAACAACAAUUCAGUGUGACUUCUAGUUUAUAUGUGUUAAAACUCAAAAUUGUUAGUGUUACACUAAAAGUGUGUCAAUGAAAAAUGACUUUUUUAACUGUAACCUGUUCUUAUUUUUGAUAUGUGAUAAAAUAUUAUAUAUAAUAUAUAUUAUAUUCAUUUAGAUUCAAUACUAAUUUAAGAUUUAUUAAACUUGUUAAUAAAUUAAGUAUUAAAGCUACACUUGUUUAAUAUCUUCUAUUUAUUUUGUUGUUUGAAAUUUUGAUUGCUGAAAAUAGAAGUAUAAUUUUAAUAUUUCCAUACAUAGAAAAUAAUUAUCAUAAGUAUGUAUGUACUUAUAAGAGUUGUCUUUUUCUGUAUUUCAUUGUAAUUCUGUGACUGAAUGGAUACGGUCAUUGACUUCAAAUCACUCCCUUCUUGACUGAUGGUUUGAAUCCCAUCAGAGUUUUUAAAUUCUCUCAUGUAAGGAAGCAAAUAUACACAAGAUCUGUGGUUCUACACAGCUGUCAUCUAGUGCCUGAAAUAAUUUUAAGAGGUAAUCCUUGACCAGGACAGCUGAAAAGUUGCUAGAUGUUUUAUUUUACAGUGUUGUUGUCACAUAAUAUUCAAAACAAAAAAAACAUGUAUAAGAGACUGAUUGAUAUAACACUUUAUAUAAAGAUGUGAAAUUUUGAUGUGUAACUAUUAUGGAGACUUAUCAAUGUAAAAUUAUGCUGUUUUGAUUAUUCAUGUAGAUUGAUUUGAAUGGUCAACAUUUUUCUUUCUGAAUGCUUAUUUGCCCCAAAGUAUUUUUUUUCUGUAAAUUUAAGUACAUGUUGUACUGUCCUAAUCUAUUUUUAAACUUUGUUGAUUUGUAUAUAAUAUAUGAUCACAUAAACAUGUAUAUGAUUGUAAAAUAUAAUUUCACUGUUCAAAGCACUGUAUUGCAAAUUAAGGUACCUAUUCUAAUUUAGUGUUGAAAAUUCACACAUGUUUUUACCAUACAAUCUAAAUCUUGACUCUAAAAGAAUAUGUAACUAAAAAGCAUCUUUAUAAAAUAAUUAAAAAUCAUAAGUUAAAAGGAUUUCAGUAGAAGUUAAUAAUUGCCUAAAGAAACUUUGAAAGCGUUCCCGUUCCAGAUACAUUGAAAAUAGUCAAUGGUUUAGUAUUAGUCUUGUUCUGCUGCCAUAUUUCCCGUACUGUUUCAUUUCUAGAUACAUUUGUACAUGGAAAAUAGUCAAUGUGUUAUGUUAUUGGGCUUAUUCUGCUGACAUAUUUUACUUUAAUCAAUGUGUUAUGUUUUUGGGCUUAUUCUGCUGCCAUAUUUUACUUUUUGUUUUCAGUUCCAAGUGCACAAUGAUGAGUAUUAAGUUCAAACAAUAAGUCUCACUCCAUUCAAUAAUUUACUGUUUCUUCUGUUAUAGCAUAAUAUACUUUUGCUUGGGUUGUUGUAAAUAGUUACAAUUUCUUGUUACUUUACAUUUGAAUUUACACUAUAUUAUGUUGACUUGUUAUGCUUUGCAGUCAGAAGGUUGUUUGCUAAUAUUUAUUGUAUAUUUUGCUUUAAACCGUUUGAUUUGAUACAAGGAAUCAACUGAUUGUUUAGGACUUGUUGUAUUUUUGUGACUUCCAAACAUGGUCUUUUUUCAAAUAAAGAUAUUUGACUAAAAUAAUGAUGACCAAUUUAACAGAAUUUUGUUUUGUAUACUACACUGCUAAAUUACAUGUUUGUAUAAGAUACAUAACAAUUAAAUCUAUUGUAUAGUGAGGAAAUCAUAUUUGGCAACUUUACAUUGCUUAAUACCUGCAUGCACUGCUGACGCUCGUAAUAAUUUGCAUAUACCAUUCACAGGCACUUUUACAUGAUACUAACAUUUAAUAUUACCUAUUUGAACAUAAUAAUGAAAAUCAUUUUCAUCUUACAAACUGCAAAUACAAGUAAAAUUCCUAAAUUCUUUAAAACAAAUGUUCUAAGGUUGACUUACAAAAAUAAGAGUCUUACUUUAAAUUUGCCAUUGAGUUUUAUGAAAUUAAUAAUAUUCUAUUUUCAUAAAUGAAAAAAAUAAUCUAUUUAUUCAGUCAUAGAGUCUUAUUUAUUUUUUUCACCAUAUUUAAUUAUUAUGUUUCAUUAUUUUAUAAAAGUUUAAUUUUUGAAGUGUGUUACAUUAAGAAAUAGCUAUAUAUUAUAAAAUACAAAAGAAAUGGUUUGCAUUUUACUGGACAAAGAAAGGAAUGCUCAGCUUACCAAUGUGUUUCCAGCUUGACAUGGGACCAGCAACAAACUUGAUUGUUUGCCUUUAUGUUAUUUUAUAUGUCAUAUUUUAAUUGAUCUAAUGUGUCGAUUUUUUUAAUAAAAACAUUCUUUAAUGGAAAUCACAUAAUUUUGUCUUGACCAUUGUUGACAGAAUGUAAGUGAAUCUAUUACUAAUUUUGAUUGUCAAGAUUUUGCAGAGCGAUGCCUCAAUCUUUACCAAUUACUUCAAAUACGUAUGAUUUCUGUUAUGAAUGAUGCGUUAUGUUUUGUGUUGUAUUUGAAAUAAUUUCUUCUGGAAUAAAAUCUACCAAUCAAUCA